This 1089-nucleotide ribosomal RNA is filed under the name Candidozyma duobushaemuli. RNAcentral's name for it is "SSU rRNA". It matches the Rfam family "Eukaryotic small subunit ribosomal RNA", at positions 727 to 1823 of the family's 1831-position model. Lineage: Eukaryota; Fungi; Ascomycota; Pichiomycetes; Serinales; Metschnikowiaceae. The record is from RNAcentral.
GCGCCGGUCCGCCGCAAGGCGAGCACUGGAGGCGGCGCCCCUUUCCUCUGCGGUCUCCCUUCUGGGGGGGUUGCAGAAUAUACUUUGAGUAAAUGAGAGUGUUCAAAGCAGGCGCACGCUUGAAUCUGUUAGCAUGGAAUAAUAGAAUAGGACGCAUGGUUCUAUUUUGUUGGUUUCUAGGACCAUCGUAAUGAUUAAUAGGACGGUCGGGCAUCAGUAUUCAGUUGUCAGAGGUGAAAUUCUUGGAUUUACUGAAGACUAACUACUGCGAAAGCAUUUGCCAAGGACGUUUUCAUUAAUCAAGAACGAAAGUUAGGGAUCGAAGAUGAUCAGAUACCGUCGUAGUCUUAACAUAAACUAUGCGACUAGGGAUCGGCGGCGUUCAUCUAGUGACGCGCUCGCACCUUACGAGAAAUCAAAGUUUUGGUUCUGGGGAGUAUGGUCGCAAGGCUGAAACUUAAAGGAAUUGACGGAAGGCACACCAGGAGUGGAGCUGCGCUUAAUUUGACUCAACACGGGAAACUCACAGGUCCAGACACAAUAAGGAUUGACAGAUUGAGAGCUCUUUCUUGAUUUUGUGGUGUGUGCAUGCCGUUCUUAGUUGGUGGAGUGAUUUGUCUGCUUAAUUGCGAUAACGAACGAGACCUUAACCUCUAAAUAGUGCUGCAGCGCUUCUCUGUGCUGGCGCUGCACUUCUUAGGGGACUAUUGACUUGAAGUCGAUGGAAGUUUGAGGCAAUAACAGGUCUGUGAUGCCUUAGACGUUCUGGCCGCACGCGCGCUACACUGACGGAGCCAGCGAGUUGACCUUGGCGAGAGGCUGGAAAUCUUGGAAACUCCGUCGUGCUGGGAUAGAGCAUUGCAAUUUUUGCUCUUCAACGAGGAAUUCCUAGUAAGCGCAAGUCACCAACUUGCGUUGAUUACGUCCUGCCUUUGUACACACCGCCGUCGCUACUACGAUUGAAUGCUUAGUGAGCCUCCGGAUCUGGCUAGCUCGAGGCAACCUCGUCGCGGCCGGAGAAGCUGGUCAAACUUGUCAUUUAGAGGAAGUAAAAGUCGUAACAAGGUUUCCGUAGGUGAACUGCGGAAG